This 512-nucleotide ribosomal RNA is filed under the name Egernia saxatilis. Its description in RNAcentral is "partial 16S ribosomal RNA". It matches the Rfam family "Bacterial large subunit ribosomal RNA", at positions 1837 to 2592 of the family's 2925-position model. Lineage: Eukaryota; Metazoa; Chordata; Lepidosauria; Squamata; Scincidae. The record is from RNAcentral.
AAACAAGUAUUAAAGGUCCCGCCUGCCCAGUGAAGCAUUUUAAACGGCCGCGGUAUCCUAACCGUGCAAAGGUAGCGUAAUCACUUGUCUUCUAAAUAAAGACUAGUAUGAACGGCUAAAUGAGGACAAACCUGUCUCUUACAGCUAAUCAGUGAAACUGAUCUUCCAGUACAAAAGCUGGAAUAAACACACAAGACGAGAAGACCCUGUGGAGCUUAAAACUACCCGCUAAAAAACACCUAAAGUGCACCUAGCCAUAAGUUUUGAGUUGGGGCGACUUCGGAACAAAACAAAACUUCCGAGCACAGAACCACCACUUCUCACCAAGGCCCACAAGCCAAGACAUAAACCGACCCAGUCACACUGAUCAACGAACCAAGUUACCCCAGGGAUAACAGCGCUAUCUUCUUCAAGAGUCCCUAUCGACAAGAAGGUUUACGACCUCGAUGUUGGAUCAGGACACCCAAAUGGUGCAGCCGCUAUUAAAGGUUCGUUUGUUCAACGAUUUACAA